This 22-nucleotide non-coding RNA is filed under the name Arabidopsis thaliana (thale cress). The record is from RNAcentral. Lineage: Eukaryota; Viridiplantae; Streptophyta; Magnoliopsida; Brassicales; Brassicaceae.
CUUGUUCCGUAUCAGCUCCAGC